This 100-nucleotide ribosomal RNA is filed under the name Procavia capensis (Cape rock hyrax). Lineage: Eukaryota; Metazoa; Chordata; Mammalia; Hyracoidea; Procaviidae. The record is from RNAcentral.
AGUAUUGGUUACAAUGCCCUGACCUUGGCAGCUAAGCAGGGUUGGGCCUGCUUAAUACUUGAAUGGGAGACCACCUAGGAAUACCAGGUGCUUUAGGCUU